AAAGCGUGCGCAGGCGGUUUUGUAAGACUGUCGUGAAAUCCCCGGGCUCAACCUGGGAAUGGCGAUGGUGACUGCAAGGCUAGAGUUUGGCAGAGGGGGGUAGAAUUCCACGUGUAGAAGUGAAAUGCGUAGAUAUGUGGAGGAACACCGAUGGCGAAGGCAGCCCCCUGGGUCAAAACUGACGCUCAUGCACGAAAGCGUGGGGAGCAAACAGGAUUAGAUACCCGUGU
Molecule: ribosomal RNA, 230 nt
Filed under: uncultured bacterium
Lineage: Bacteria
Description: partial 16S ribosomal RNA
Rfam family: Bacterial small subunit ribosomal RNA
Source: RNAcentral